RNAcentral lists this ribosomal RNA (500 nucleotides) under uncultured Ruminococcus sp. RNAcentral describes it as "bacterial SSU rRNA". It matches the Rfam family "Bacterial small subunit ribosomal RNA", at positions 8 to 521 of the family's 1533-position model. Lineage: Bacteria; Bacillati; Bacillota; Clostridia; Eubacteriales; Oscillospiraceae. The record is from RNAcentral.
AGAGUUUGAUCCUGGCUCAGGACGAACGCUGGCGGCACGCUUAACACAUGCAAGUCGAACGAGAGAAGAGAAGCUUGCUUUUCUGAUCUAGUGGCGGACGGGUGAGUAACACGUGAGCAAUCUGCCUUUCAGAGGGGGAUACCGAUUGGAAACGAUCGUUAAUACCGCAUAACAUAAUUGAACCGCAUGAUUUGAUUAUCAAAGAUUUAUCGCUGAAAGAUGAGCUCGCGUCUGAUUAGCUAGUUGGUAAGGUAACGGCUUACCAAGGCGACGAUCAGUAGCCGGACUGAGAGGUUGAUCGGCCACAUUGGGACUGAGACACGGCCCAGACUCCUACGGGAGGCAGCAGUGGGGAAUAUUGCACAAUGGAGGAAACUCUGAUGCAGCGAUGCCGCGUGAGGGAAGAAGGUUUUAGGAUUGUAAACCUCUGUCUUCAGGGACGAAAAAAAGACGGUACCUGAGGAGGAAGCUCCGGCUAACUACGUGCCAGCAGCCGCGGU